This 616-nucleotide ribosomal RNA is filed under the name uncultured bacterium. Its description in RNAcentral is "bacterial SSU rRNA". It matches the Rfam family "Bacterial small subunit ribosomal RNA", at positions 25 to 638 of the family's 1533-position model. The record is from RNAcentral.
CAGGACGAACGCUGGCGGCGCGCCUAACACAUGCAAGUCGAACGGAGCUUAUAUUUCAGAAGUUUUCGGAUGGACGGGAGAUAAGUUUAGUGGCGGACGGGUGAGUAACACGUGAGCAACCUGCCUUUCAGAGGGGGAUAACAGUUGGAAACGACUGCUAAUACCGCAUAACGCUGCGAUGGGGCAUCCCGAUGCAGCCAAAGGAGCAAUCCGCUGGAAGAUGGGCUCGCGGCCGAUUAGCUAGUUGGUGGGGCAACGGCCCACCAAGGCGACGAUCGGUAGCCGGACUGAGAGGUUGAUCGGCCACAUUGGGACUGAGACACGGCCCAGACUCCUACGGGAGGCAGCAGUGGGGGAUAUUGCACAAUGGAGGAAACUCUGAUGCAGCGACGCCGCGUGAGGGAAGACGGUCUUCGGAUUGUAAACCUCUGUCUUUGGGGAAGAAAAUGACGGUACCCAAAGAGGAAGCUCCGGCUAACUACGUGCCAGCAGCCGCGGUAAUACGUAGGGGGCAAGCGUUAUCCGGAUUUACUGGGUGUAAAGGGAGCGUAGACGGCAGGGCAAGUCUGGAGUGAAAGCCCGGGGCCCAACCCCGGGACUGCUUUGGAAACUGCCA